RNAcentral lists this transfer RNA (59 nucleotides) under Gloeochaete wittrockiana. The record is from RNAcentral. Lineage: Eukaryota; Glaucocystophyceae; Gloeochaetales; Gloeochaetaceae.
AUCUAUACACAGUGUAAAAGUGAGGUUAUCGUUCAUGCGACAAUUAACAGGAAGCUAUC